GAAUCUAAGUCGCCCCAGGUACCCGCGUCUCUAAUAAAGCCUCUUGCAGUUUGCAUCCAAGUUCGUGGUCUCGCUGAUUUCUGGGUACGGGUCUCCUUCUACGAAAGUACCUCUUCGGGGGGUCUUUCAUUUGGGGGCUUGUCUGGGAUAGAGACCCCCACUCAGGGACCACCGACCCACGUUUGGGAGCUCAUUUACAGGCCCUCCAACUAGUACAACGGGAGGUCUGGAAACCCCUUGCUCAAGCUUAUAAAGACCAGAGGGACCAUCCUGCCGUUCCCCAUUCCUACCAGAUCGGGGACACAGUCUGGGUCCGGCAUCACCAGACAAAGAAACUCGAACCCCGCUGGAAGGGACCCUACAUCGUUUUGCUUACCACCCACACCGCACUCAAAGUAGACGGCAUUGCAGCUUGGAUACAUGCCACAGGGAAACACAUAGAUGACAUCACAGAGACACAGAG
RNAcentral lists this long non-coding RNA (463 nucleotides) under Cricetulus griseus (Chinese hamster). Its description in RNAcentral is "lncRNA (ENSCGRG00000025820.1)". Lineage: Eukaryota; Metazoa; Chordata; Mammalia; Rodentia; Cricetidae. The record is from RNAcentral.